RNAcentral lists this ribosomal RNA (253 nucleotides) under uncultured bacterium. RNAcentral describes it as "partial 16S ribosomal RNA". It matches the Rfam family "Bacterial small subunit ribosomal RNA", at positions 524 to 776 of the family's 1533-position model. The record is from RNAcentral.
UACGUAGGGUGCAAGCGUUAAUCGGAAUUACUAGGCGUAAAGCGUGCGCAGGCGGUUUUGUAAGUCAGAUGUGAAAUCCCCGGGCUUAACCUGGGAACUGCGUUUGAAACUACAAGGCUAGAGUGUGGCAGAGGGGGGUGGAAUUCCACGUGUAGCAGUGAAAUGCGUAGAUAUCGGGAGGAACACCAGUGGCGAAGGCGACUACCUGGCCUGUUCUUGACGCUGAGGCGCGAAAGCUAGGGGAGCAAACGGG